UUCCGGUUGAUCCUGCCGGACCCCACUGCUAUCGGGAUAGGACUAAGACAUGCUAGUCAAGCGCUCACCAGCCAAAGGUGAGUGCGGCACACAGCUCAGUAACACGUGGCUAACCUGCCCUUGGGACGAGGACACCCCCGGGAAACUGGGGCUAAUCCUCGAUAGGUGAAGAACUCUGGAAUGAGUCUCCGCCCAAAAGGCGUUUGCGCUAUGCUCGUAGGCGCCGCCCAAGGAUGGGGCCGCGACCGAUCAGGUUGUUGGCGAGGUAAUGGCUCACCAAGCCUUUUACCGGUGCGGGCCGUGGGAGCGGGAGCCCGGAGAUGGGCACUGAGACAAGGGCCCAGGCCCUACGGGGCGCAGCAGUCGCGAAAACUUUGCAAUACACGAAAGUGUGACAGGGCUAUCCCGAGUGCCAUCCGCUGAGGAAGGCUUUUACUCAGUUUAGAACGCUGGGGGAAUAAGGAGAGGGCAAGACUGGUGUCAGCCGCCGCGGUAAUACCAGC
RNAcentral lists this ribosomal RNA (503 nucleotides) under uncultured archaeon. Its description in RNAcentral is "bacterial SSU rRNA". It matches the Rfam family "Archaeal small subunit ribosomal RNA", at positions 1 to 480 of the family's 1478-position model. The record is from RNAcentral.